This 450-nucleotide ribosomal RNA is filed under the name uncultured bacterium. RNAcentral describes it as "partial 16S ribosomal RNA". It matches the Rfam family "Bacterial small subunit ribosomal RNA", at positions 354 to 796 of the family's 1533-position model. The record is from RNAcentral.
GUGGGGAAUUUUGGACAAUGGGGGCAACCCUGAUCCAGCCAUUCCGCGUGAGUGAAGAAGGCCUUCGGGUUGUAAAGCUCUUUCGGCAGGAACGAAACGGUGAGCUCUAACAUAGCUCGCUAAUGACGGUACCUGAAGAAGAAGCACCGGCUAACUACGUGCCAGCAGCCGCGGUAAUACGUAGGGUGCGAGCGUUAAUCGGAAUUACUGGGCGUAAAGCGUGCGCAGGCGGUUGUGUAAGACAGGUGUGAAAUCCCCGGGCUUAACCUGGGAACUGCGCUUGUGACGGCAUAGCUAGAGUACGGCAGAGGGGGAAGGAAUUCCGCGUGUAGCAGUGAAAUGCGUAGAUAUGCGGAGGAACACCGAUGGCGAAGGCAAUCCCCUGGGCCUGUACUGACGCUCAUGCACGAAAGCGUGGGGAGCAAACAGGAUUAGAUACCCCGGUAGUCC